GGAUUCACAGAUGAUCUUUGCACUACAGUAUGUUUGGUUUAUAAUUGAAAUAGAAAUUAAAAAAAAAAAAAAAAUUGGAUGUAUUUGAAUAGAAUAUAAAACAAUGAAUCAUUCAAAAAUAUUUGGUUCAUUACUGAAAUGAAAAUCAAAAUGGAUAACAAGUAGAAUUUUAAGAAACGAAUUUUAAUUAGAGAUAUUGUAGUGUUCCGGAGGUUUGGAUGGGAUUGGCUAGAAUAUUAGUGACUGGUCGACACAUCUGGAGAGUGUCGGGUUGAAUCAGAAUUGAUUCUGCACGAAAUGAAUGCAGAAAUGAACUCGGCGUACUCAAAUAAGCAAAACUAAAGUUUUGCCAGAUUCAGGCUCCCAGAAUAGGUUUUGGGUCGCCGAGAACUUGAGUGCAGAACUGAGCAGAACUGGAAGCCAAUUCGGAUCCGGAUUUCGGAUGCCCAGAAUUGGGUCCGAAAAUUCACUUUGGGAGUAUCGUUUGCGCUGACACGUAGCUAGUGGUAGGUGUGAUCUGCCGGACCAGUUUUAGGGCACAACACACCGUGGGCGGAGGAACUGAAGAGGAGUAUUUGUGCUGUCUGGAGGUUUCGGACGCCCAAAACAUGGUUCCGAGCGCCCGA
Molecule: long non-coding RNA, 626 nt
Filed under: Ananas comosus (pineapple)
Lineage: Eukaryota; Viridiplantae; Streptophyta; Magnoliopsida; Poales; Bromeliaceae
Description: long non-coding RNA (ACOM_LNC027947)
Source: RNAcentral